This 391-nucleotide ribosomal RNA is filed under the name Streptococcus pneumoniae. RNAcentral's name for it is "partial 23S ribosomal RNA". It matches the Rfam family "Bacterial large subunit ribosomal RNA", at positions 1103 to 1497 of the family's 2925-position model. Lineage: Bacteria; Bacillati; Bacillota; Bacilli; Lactobacillales; Streptococcaceae. The record is from RNAcentral.
GGCUUAGAAGCAGCCACCAUUUAAAGAGUGCGUAAUAGCUCACUGGUCGAGUGACAUCGCGCCGAAAAUGUACCGGGGCUAAACAUACAACCGAAGCUGCGGAUAUAACUAAUGUUAUAUGGUAGGAGAGCGUUCUAACAUCGUAGAAGCCGAGCUGUAAGGCGAGGUGGAGAGGUUAGAAGUGAGAAUGCCGGUGUGAGUAGCGAAAGAUAGGUGAGAAUCCUAUCCACCGAAAGACUAAGGUUUCCAGAGGAAGGCUCGUCCGCUCUGGGUAAGUCGGGACCUAAGGUGAAGCCGAAUGGUGAAGCCGAUGGACAACAGGUAGAAAUUCCUGUACCACCAAAUAUCAUUUGAGAGAAGUGGGGACAGAGGAGGCUAAUUGAUCGUCCUG